GAUGAACGCUGGCGGCGUGCCUAAUACAUGCAAGUCGAGCGAACGGACGAGAAGCUUGCUUCUCUGAUGUUAGCGGCGGACGGGUGAGUAACACGUGGAUAACCUACCUAUAAGACUGGGAUAACUUCGGGAAACCGGAGCUAAUACCGGAUGAUAUUUUGAACCGCAUGGUUCAAAAGUGAAAGACGGUCUUGCUGUCACUUAUAGAUGGAUCCGCGCUGCAUUAGCUAGUUGGUAAGGUAACGGCUUACCAAGGCAACGAUGCAUAGCCGACCUGAGAGGGUGAUCGGCCACACUGGAACUGAGACACGGUCCAGACUCCUACGGGAGGCAGCAGUAGGGAAUCUUCCGCAAUGGGCGAAAGCCUGACGGAGCAACGCCGCGUGAGUGAUGAAGGUCUUCGGAUCGUAAAACUCUGUUAUUAGGGAAGAACAUAUGUGUAAGUAACAGUGCACAUCUUGACGGUACCUAAUCAGAAAGCCACGGCUAACUACGUG
This 497-nucleotide ribosomal RNA is filed under the name uncultured bacterium. RNAcentral's name for it is "partial 16S ribosomal RNA". It matches the Rfam family "Bacterial small subunit ribosomal RNA", at positions 28 to 507 of the family's 1533-position model. The record is from RNAcentral.